This 125-nucleotide long non-coding RNA is filed under the name Urocitellus parryii (Arctic ground squirrel). RNAcentral's name for it is "HOX antisense intergenic RNA myeloid 1 conserved region 1 (ENSUPAG00010017424.1)". It matches the Rfam family "HOX antisense intergenic RNA myeloid 1 conserved region 1". The record is from RNAcentral. Lineage: Eukaryota; Metazoa; Chordata; Mammalia; Rodentia; Sciuridae.
CACCGUUUCAGUGGCAUUUAAAUCCCCGGCGCUCCUCUGUCUAGGUGACGCGCAGCAGCCCCCCCAGGCAGCCCAGGCGGCCGCAGCAGCUGCAGCGGCUGCAACGACAGAUUCCGAGCGCUGGG